UUUAGAUUUUUUUCCUAGAUUAAGUGCUUGUUUUGGUGCAACACAAAUUCAGAUAGCUUUGAAACCUUCCUGUUUAUAUACCCUAACGAGAUAACUCGUAUGACAGGAUAGACAAAUCAAAGGUUUGAUAUUACUUUUGAGUCUUGAGCUUACAUGUUAAAUAUUUUUACUAAUCACUAUGGAUUUUUUUUUUUUUUUUUUAAAUCACUAGUGUUCUUAAAUUUCAUGACUCUCUUGAGUUUAUUUAUCCAUCGUGGGCACUAUUGGAUCUUAUGUUCUGUAAACUUGCUCUUCGGUUCUGGCAUGUUAACGAAUUGAUUAACCACCCCAGUCUUUUGUCCCUGUAAUUCUUGUUACUAAGCAUCUUUCUCCCUUCCAUUUCACUCUCUCAUGAGCGACUUGUAUGAUUUAAUCUUUCAACCUUUAAAAAUGUCAGUCAUUUCUUAUACCCUUCCCAUCUGUCAGUUUAUCAGUGAUACUUAAUAUUUCAGAGUUUACUCCAAGAUGCUUUGUUUUUCCUGUUGCUUUGGCUUCUUCUAGUUUAUAUGUUAGGGAUUUUCCUCAGAUAUUUGGUGAUUUGGGGCUCACAGAAGUGGAGCACUUAAACUAAUUGGAUGUUUUGAACAUUUGUCUGGUUGGAGGAGAGCUUGUGAACUCAGCAAGGUUUAUUGCUCACUGAGUGAUCUGCAUUUAUAGUGAUUAUUGAAGAACCCCUAGAAAUAUCCUUUGUUUUCUCUAGCUACUCAGGCUCAACAGAGAAGUCUUCUAUCCUGUCUGAAGCCAUAAAAACUUGGUCUGCUGGUAUUCUGAUCCUCGGGUUACAGGGGGAAGGCUAAGGGAUCCCCAUUUCAUCACUGCUUAUUCAGUCCAAACAAUGCUCUCUCACCUGGUUCUGAGAUUAAAUUUCUUGAGUAUGGAGGAAUCAGUUGUCUGGCAAUACUGAGGAUCAAGAUUGUUAGAUAUUUAACCAACUCUGGUUACGCCUCUUUUACCUAUAUUUGUACUGGUACUGGGCUGCCAUUUAUUGACCCCUGCUUGAAUUCUGUUCCUGGUUUUCUGAGACAUGUCUUCACUGCUGAGAAUAUUCAGCAUUUAGUCAGCAUUUGUUAAUAGGCUUUGCAUGUUUUAAAAUGUCUUUCCUGUAACCUUUUCUUUGAAAUUGCUAGGUUUUAGUAGGUUUUCAGAAGGGUGUUUGAGUUUGGGGUGGUUGGUAAAAAGAUUUAGGCAAACGGCAGCAGAUAAAUUAAAAUAUUAGCUCAGUAUCUUUCUAGAAUUUGGCCAACAACAUUCACAAGUAGUUGGCUAGAUGAUUAUAGAACCAUCCUGUUUUAUUAAUGAACUGUUAUGUAGCUUUGAUUUCAAUUCUUGCUUGAUCCACUUGAAACUACCAACUACAUUUUCAGGUAAUGAAGUUUUCAGGGACUGGUCCUGAAUCAAAUUUUGAUCCCUUUUGGUUUACUAGGUAUCUACUACGAGGUGAGUUCAUUUCUCUUCCUGGGGUUCUGUGUCUUUUUAUUCCUUUCUUAAACUUCAGUGUAUAUUAUAAGGUUGUAAAACUUAAACUAUAUUAUUAUUUUCCGUUGUGAUGGUUAGUUUUUCAUUGUACUUUGUGGUGCCUGAGUUCUAAUGCACUGUAGGUGGAACAUCUGUUCAGGUGCCAGUUUACACUGAGAUAGUCUCAACUACAUUAAGAUCCAGUUUUAGGCUUUUGCAUCCUGUAUAUUAGAAAUUCAGUUUAUGUGCUUUUAUUUUAUUGCUUGGGUUUAUUUUGGGGACUGCUUUGUUUGUUUAGGGUUUUAAGGUAUUAGGAAUUUUGUAAACAACAAGGACUAAACCCACCAUCUACUUACAGUAUCUUUGUUGAUCCUGAUAUGUAUGAGUUUAUUAGGUUUGGGGUUAGUUCAACUUGAUACUGUCGAAAUGCACAAUCUCAGUGAAGAAAAUUUAUUUGGUCAGUGUGAUAACUGUAAAUUACCCUAAAUUAUUCAUUAAAUGUGAUUAUUUUUAAACUACUUUUAACAAAGUUGAGAACGUAACAUCAUUCAUUACCAGUCACGUUUAAGCUAUUGUGGUUUAGCAUAGUCUGAGAAGUUCAUGAGUAAAAUGAUUAUAGCAUGAUAAAUAUUUCAAAGAGGCCUGAAGGUCCUUUGUAUUAGAAUUAAUCAAUUGUUAUUGGUGUUGACUGGGAUUGUUUUUACAUAUUCCAAGUUAUCUUAGCUACCCUAACAUUAAGAUGGUGAGAGUUAACAGUUUAUUUCAUAAGCUUUUGAGUUUUUACUUUUACCUCCUGUAGAAAGACAAGGGCACACAUUUGAUAGUUACACCAGUCAGCAUUUUAAUCAUGGUCUAGCAUGAACAUCACCCAAGAUUGUUAGCAUUCUAAUGAGUGUAUCAGGUGGCUUACUGAGUGGUGGAAGAGAGGUGGUGUGGGUUGCGAUAGCUUUGAGAACAUGGGUUAAUUUUUGUUUUAUCAUUCUUUACAGGCAAUGUACUUGCCUUCUCUGUAUCUUCUGUAUCUUGAUUCUUUGUACCUUUGGUUUGUCACUGAUCUUAGUCAUCCAUUGCAUUAUAAAUGGGUAACCAGUAACUGAAAUUGACUUGCUGUUGUCUUGAAUUGAGCUGGUUAUAUAUUUGACCUUAGCACCCCUUUAAGAUCUCAAGAGAAUUUGUGUGGUUAUAGCAGCCUCUCAUAGAUGGACUUAGGUAAAGAAUGUGGGACUUGGUGGACUAUAAUUUAGAGCAGAUCCUAACUACUAAAUGUUGGUGAGUUUUUACCAGUAAGUCCUGUAAAGGCUGAAAAUUGGGAUGAUGGAUGUAACAAGGGAAUGGGAAAAGGAUUUUAACAAAAUUACUGUGCUAUUUAAAAAUGGUGAAUUCUUCAGAGGAAUUAGGUGUUCUUGUUACAACAGUCCAAAUCUGUUAAAAGUCUUCAUUUAAAUAAGACAGAUAGGCACUAAUUCUUUAGUGAUAAUAGAGGUUAUAGGUUUCUGUUUGGGGAAACAACUCCCUUGAUGUUGGGAAGAGAAUCUACUUCAAGGUUAAUUUGUAUAUAUCUUAUUUUGUAUCAGAUAGCUGUAUUCCUUUUGCAUUCUAGAAUUUGAGAUCAAGAUUAUUCUGACCUUUUCAAAAUUUAUCUUAGAAAAACAAGUGUUGGGAUAGAACUUGGUAGGUUGGUUACUGCCAGUACCUAAAUGUGACAUUUAACAUGUCAUGGAAACUGCUUUGAAUAAAUAAACUUGAGACAAGGAAUAAUGUGUUUGCUUUUUUUUAAAUGGAUGGCCUUGGAUUCCACACCUUCAUGUUUUUAUAAAAUACCAGUAGGAGACUAAUGAAGUGGAACCUUACUAAAAAAAUUUUUUGGAAGAUGACUGAUUUUAUUACAGUGUAGUUAAGAGGUUGAUUAAGGCAGUAAAUUAAACUUUGAAAUGCUCAUAAAUUUGUUGUAAAUUGCCUCUACAUUCAUUGAUAAUAUAAAGCAUGCUACUACUAAUCGAUUAGUUUUAUGUAUUAAGACCUAUUGGCAUGUCUUUUUUCUUAGAACCUGGUUGACUUGAUUUUAAAUUACGUGAUGUUUUCUGUACCAUUUAGCAUUUUCAAGACAUACUCUUCCCAAGCAAAUUCCACUGGAACCAGUGUUUCCAUUUCUAGAAGUAUAGAGUCUUUAUUUGAAGUUUAUAGUGGGGUUUCAUGGGGUUUUAAUUUGCACUAAAUUUUCGUUUAUGAAAGAUUACUUAUGUUCAAAUUAUAAUGUAGUAGUGCUUUUUGUCUUACGAUUAAACUCUUACAGCACUCAUGCAUUUUUCGCAUUGUCUUUUUUUAAACAAGCUUUCUCUUGGAUGAAUAUCUUGAAAUACGUAGGUCUUAGUUUUAGUUGACAGGACAACUACCAUAAUAUUGAAACAUAAGAAUUUUAAAAGAGAUCCUUUUAAGAUUUAAUUUAUGUUGCAAGUUGAAGAGUCACUGAAUUUGAUAUAAGAAAAAGAGCAAUUCCUCUUGUCUCCAGAACGUGCAUGAGGUGUGAUAUUGAGAACAGGAGGAUUUUGUAUGGGGAUGUUUAGUCUUUGGCUUUUGCUGGGUUUGCUGUCAAAUGUAGUGAGACGACUCAAAGUGUUAGUAUGCAUUUACUGUUUUCAUUUGUUUACAAACCCUUUGGGAAAUGGUAAAUUAAGCUAGAAGUGUAAUAGCAAAAAUGUUUAUGCUCAAAAGUCUUUAACAGUAUUGUUUUGAUUAUUCCAUUUCAUUUUGUGUGUUAACAGUGUUUAACAGAAUGUGGGUCACCUAGUGUUUGCCUGCCAAGAGAGGUCAUCAUUAUAUGUGGGGUCAUGGUGCAGUGCCAAGCAGGUCUUCUGCUCCCCAACAAAUGACCUCUUUGUGUUUGUAACCAGCUUGUGGUUUGCCUUUUUGUUCUACAAAAAACAUCAGAGGCCAGAAUUAAACAAUGGGUUUCAUAAAUUCUAGUUUCUGCCAUAAUUCUACAAUGAGAUUUCUCUGAAAGACUUUUGAUUCUAUAAUGGGGUAAUACAGACUUUCCAAAAAAGUUCCAAAUAUCUUUUCAGAUCUGUUAAAAUGUAUGGGACUUUCUAUUUAGAAGAUUUUUAAAAUUUUUAAAUAAAUAUAAAAUAAUUAAUGAUUGGUUCAGAAAUCCACCGUUUGUUUCCAACUGUAAAAUUUUAUCUUCCUCAAGCAUGGAUAUUAAAUGAUUGGCAUGUUAAAAUGCUUUGAGGUUGGUAAUUAUUAAACCUUAUUACAGAGUUUAACAUACUUUGAAGCCCCAUCCCAUAGUGAAGCAGAAUUUUUAGGGUUUUGUAGCCCAAAUAUCCGUAUUAUUAAGAUCUCUAGGUGAUUCUGAUGUUGAGAUAAAAACUCAAAGCUUCCACAUUUGUUGCUAUUACUAUAUUACUGUAUUUAAGUGAAUAUGGAAAUCAAGAAUAUGAAAAGGUACUAGAUAUUAGAUGCCUACAUGAGAUGGGUAGACAAUAUGAAGAGUAGUAUGAUAUGGCCAGGCUUGUGGGGGUGGGGUAUGUUAACUACGAUGGGAAUGAGUGCUUUUUCUCAAAGCUUGCUGGGCACUCAGAUGACUCCCUUUUUUGAUUCUGUAGCUUUCCUGACUUAAAAAUCUUCAGAAGCUUUGAGAAAUCCCAUGCUUUUGGUGGCUUGUUUGGAAAUGACAAGAGGAGUCAAGGUAGGCUAAAAUGGUUCUAGGUUACAGGAUAGCUGUGUUGACAUUUAUAGAGAAAAUAUGGUAAAACAAGUAGGUUUUGUAAAGAAAGGUGGAUGAAUAUAUGGUUGAGUUUGGGAAGUGCGUGCCUGGUAUCCAAAUGGGAAUAUCCAGUAGAGAUUUGGAAAAUAGUUUGAUAUUCAGAAGAGAGGUUAGAACUGAAGAAGGCAAUAUGGGAGUGAAGGAAAGCCUCCUGGAGAGGGAUGCUGCAGGCCCUGUGAAUGAAUAGCAUGAUUGAAUUCCAACGUCUAUCUAUGCACCCCUAUCAGCAAGCAAUGUUUAUUUGUUGACCCACUUUCAUCUCACUAAACCAGGGAUGCAGGCAAGUUAAAACUUGUGCUUUGAUUUUCUCAUGUUUAAAAUGAAAAUGAACCUAUUUCAGUGUGGUUGAGAGGAUUAAAAAAUAUCUAUACUUAACAGUUAUUAGCACAUCAUAAAUGUUAAAAAUAUCUGUUUUUCACUGCCUUUACCUAUUGACGUGAAUUCAUUUUCUAGUAAGAUCCAAAUUCAACCCUUUAUAACCUGUGAAACCUUCCUGAAGUGACUCAAGCCUGUGUAGAUCAUAUUCCUCAGAUGAUGAUUCUUCCUCUGCCAUGCAACCUGCCACAAUGCUGCUGUUUUAACGUGUAUUUUUGUUGCACUUGCCUUUUAACUGGGAUAUAAGCUUUCCUUAGGAUUAGGGCCAUGUCUUAUAUUUCUGUGUACAGAUAUUAUUCUGUUUUUCAAACAUUAGUUAUUUUUAUAUAUGUGGUAACUUAGAAUAAAUCCUAAUUGUUAAGACUUGUGCAGAGUAGGGGCUCAACAAUAUUUGCACAAGUGAAUGAAAAAUCGGACGGUCUUAGUAUGUUUCUUUCAUCUCUAGCACAAAUAAUAGAGGAAGACUGGUAAAUGACUGCUUUUCUUAUUUCCAGGCAGCUCAUAAAUCUAAACUCUUUAAAAUUUAAGAUUGCAUAUGAAAACAAAUAUUAUGGGACCUCUUGCCUGGAACUAGG
RNAcentral lists this long non-coding RNA (6210 nucleotides) under Marmota monax (woodchuck). The record is from RNAcentral. Lineage: Eukaryota; Metazoa; Chordata; Mammalia; Rodentia; Sciuridae.